UGCCAGCAGCCGCGGUAAUUCCAGCUCCAAUAGCGUAUAUUAAAGUUGUUGUGGUUAAAAAGCUCGUAGUUGGAUCUCAACAGCCUUGAAGCGGUUAACUUUGUAGUUUUACUGCUUUAUAGGCUGUGCUUUUGCUGGAGGUUUAGGGGUGUUCUUGAUCGAGUGUCUCUGGAUGCCAGCAGGUUUACUUUGAAAAAAUUAGAGUGCUCAAAGCAGGCUAAAAUGCCUGAAUAUUCGUGCAUGGAAUAAUAGAAUAGGAUGUCGAUCCUAUUUUGUUGGUUUUCGGGACUCGACAUAAUGAUAAAUAGGGACAGUCGGGGGCAUUUGUAUUCAAACGACAGAGGUGAAAUUCUUGGACCGUUUGAAGACAAACUACUGCGAAAGCAUUUGCCAAGAAUGUUUUCAUUAAUCAAGAACGAAAGUUAGAGGUUCGAAGGCGAUUAGAUACCGCCCUAGUUCUAACCAUAAACGAUGCCAGCUAGCGAUCUGCCUGCGUUUUUACUGUAGACUGGGCAGGAAGCUUCCGGGAAACCAAAGCAUUUGGGUUCCAGGGGAAGUAUGGUUGCAAAGCUGAAACUUAAAGGAAUUGACGGAAGGGCACCACCAGGAGUGGAGCCUGUGGCUUAAUUUGACUCAACACGGGAAAUCUCACCAGGCCCGGACACUGGAAGGAUUGACAGAUUGAUAGCUCUUUCUUGAUUCGGUGGGUGGUGGUGCAUGGGCCGUUCUUAGUUGGUGGAGUGAUUUGUCUGGUUAAUUCCGAUAACGAACGAGACUCUGUCCUGCUAAAUAGUUUCUACUUCUCUUUUGAGUAGAAAUUUCUUCUUAGAGGGACUGGUGACUCUUAGUCACACGAGAUUGAGCAAUAACAGGUCUGUGAUG
RNAcentral lists this ribosomal RNA (882 nucleotides) under uncultured eukaryote. RNAcentral describes it as "SSU rRNA". It matches the Rfam family "Eukaryotic small subunit ribosomal RNA", at positions 565 to 1469 of the family's 1831-position model. The record is from RNAcentral.